UUGACAGCCCUGGAGACUGACGUCCUAAUGAUCCACAGAACAGGAGCACAUGGGCAUUUUCCUACCAAUGUGACUCAGUCUAGAGGUGCAGAGCCCAACUCUCAGAUUAGAUGGCAGUUCAGUAUAAAGCCUUCACAAACUGCCGUUAUU
Chrysemys picta bellii (western painted turtle) is the source of this 150-nucleotide unclassified non-coding RNA. The record is from Ensembl. Lineage: Eukaryota; Metazoa; Chordata; Testudines; Emydidae.